Dipodomys ordii (Ord's kangaroo rat) is the source of this 137-nucleotide long non-coding RNA. RefSeq lists it as uncharacterized. The record is from RefSeq and is a predicted model, not a curated record. The transcript is spliced from 4 exons. Lineage: Eukaryota; Metazoa; Chordata; Mammalia; Rodentia; Heteromyidae.
UCUCAGCCUCCUGAGUAGCUAGGAUUACAGGCAUCAGCCAUCAGCACCCGGCCCUCAUGGGAUUCUUAUACUGAUGUCCUCAGCUCCUGAAACUCACGCGCGGCUGCUCGCUGCUCCCGGACGUGGGGAAGUGAAAA